AUACGGAGGAUCCGAGCGUUAUCCGGAUUUAUUGGGUUUAAAGGGUGCGCAGGCGGCCAUUUAAGUCAGCGGUUAAACCGUGGGGCUCAACCCCAUUCUGCCGUUGAUACUGGGUGGCUUGAUUGCGGUCGAGGUUGGCGGACUUCGUUGUGUAGCGGUGAAAUGCAUAGAUAUGACGAAGAACACCGAUUGCGUAGGCAGCUGACCAGACCGCAAAUGACGCUCAUGCACGAAAGUGCGGGGAUCGAACAGGAUUAGAUACCCUGGUAGUCCGCACAGUAAACGAUGAAUACUUGUUUUCGGCGAUAUAAUGUCGGAGGCAAAGCGAAAGCGAUAAGUAUUCCACCUGGGGAGUACGCCGGCAACGGUGAAACUCAAAGGAAUUGACGGGG
Molecule: ribosomal RNA, 392 nt
Filed under: uncultured bacterium
Lineage: Bacteria
Description: partial 16S ribosomal RNA
Rfam family: Bacterial small subunit ribosomal RNA
Source: RNAcentral